Molecule: ribosomal RNA, 337 nt
Filed under: uncultured archaeon
Lineage: Archaea
Description: partial 16S ribosomal RNA
Rfam family: Archaeal small subunit ribosomal RNA
Source: RNAcentral
CGGGAAACUGGGGAUAAUACCCUAUAGACUAUGGAUGCUGGAAUGCUCUGUAGCCAAAAGGUCCGCCGCUGUAGGAUGGGUCUGCGGCCGAUUAGGUUGUUGUUGGGGUAACGGCCCAACAAGCCUGUAAUCGGUACGGGUUGUGGGAGCAAGAGCCCGGAGAUGGAUUCUGAGACACGAAUCCAGGCCCUACGGGGCGCAGCAGGCGCGAAAACUUUGCAAUGCGGGAAACCGUGACAAGGGAACUCUGAGUGCCCGUAAAAUCGGGCUGUCCAUUGGUGUAAAAAACCAGUGAAGAAAGGGCCGGGCAAGACCGGUGCCAGCCGCCGCGGUAACA